AUGGGCCCUGGGCUCCUCUGCUGGGAACUGCUUUAUCUCCUGGGAGCAGGCCCAGUGGAGGCUGGAGUCACCCAAAGUCCCACACACCUGAUCAAAACGAGAGGACAGCAAGUGACUCUGAGAUGCUCUCCUAUCUCUGGGCACAGCAGUGUGUCCUGGUACCAACAGGCCCCGGGUCAGGGGCCCCAGUUUAUCUUUGAAUAUGCUAAUGAGUUAAGGAGAUCAGAAGGAAACUUCCCUAAUCGAUUCUCAGGGCGCCAGUUCCAUGACUAUUGCUCUGAGAUGAAUGUGAGUGCCUUGGAGCUGGGGGACUCGGCCCUGUAUCUCUGUGCCAGAAGCUUGG
This is a non-coding RNA of Homo sapiens (human), 343 nucleotides long. NCBI's taxonomy places the organism in Eukaryota, Metazoa, Chordata, Mammalia, Primates, Hominidae. The record is from the annotation of a RefSeq genome assembly.